AACGAAACUAUGCUAGCACAAUUUAAGCUAAAAUCUAAAUCUAAAUGUGCUAAAUGUGUUUCCGGACAACAAUUUUAAUUAUAUUAAAAAGAAAGUACAUUUGAAUGCUUUUUAGAAUUGAUUUAACUUAUUUUUUAAAGUUCCAAAAGGAAUUAAAUCCAAUUCAAGAUUGAACUCGGUCCGACCCCAGAGAUUAGACGGGUUCAGGUGUGUCCAGGCAAUAGGCAGUGUAAUGGCCAGAGCCAAAGCCCUUCCCAUGAUGCAUCACCACAGCCGAGAGUUCGUAGAGGAAGUGCUUUGGGCGAGGAGAACCCGGGGAGCCGGGACUGCCGGGACCGGAGCAGGAAAGGUCUUUAGGCGGCGAGCCAUCUCUGCAGCAGUAAGGCUCCAUGUCCAGAAGCUGAUCGAAACUCACGUGGACUCCGAUCUUCUCCCGGUGGUUCCGCCCAGACCACCUGGUGGAUGGAUCACAGGCUAAAGCUGCACCUCGCCGGUCUACGUGAAAAUUCCCACAACAGUGUCGUAUUUCUUUGGUGACGCUUCUAGAGGUCUUCGUUGAAGGUUUUCAUUCCUCCAGCUUCAGGAAGGCUGCACACGUUUGAUCUUCCUCACCUUUGACGAGGACAUCAGUGGUCCUUUGAGUUAAAAACGUGCAGCUGAAGAUCGUGGGAACGAGUAAAGAUACAGCACGGAUGAAAAGGAGAAUCAGGAGAACUUUCCGAUCUGCAGGACUCAGAAACGUCUGAGUCUGAGGAAAGGUGAAGUUAGAGCCCCUCAUGGUCUGUCAGGCCCCAGGUCUGCUCUGAACACAUAAUCGCCGUCUUCAUGCCAUAAUGACUCACUGAUGGAUGGCCUAAUGACGCUCCCGGUUUGAACUCGCCUGUGACGCUUCAACCCAGGGAAAAAUGUGGAGGACGAGGCGUCCAGACCCAGAAAUGACAGUCAGUCAGUUCGCUUUCUGCUCAGAAACGCGUCACAGUUUCAGGGAAAACGCUGCCGGCAGCAAAUGGAGAAAAUGUUCUGCACCUCACUUCAACGCAGGUCAGAGGCAGCAGUUAUGUUUUCUCUUCUAUACACAUAAAUGUUUGUAUAUAAACACAACACACUUACAUACAUAGAGAUAUAUUCCUUAUAAUAGAUUAGAGAUAAUACAUGAACUCUUUAUUU
This is a long non-coding RNA of Oryzias melastigma (Indian medaka), 1167 nucleotides long. RefSeq lists it as uncharacterized. The record is from RefSeq and is a predicted model, not a curated record. Lineage: Eukaryota; Metazoa; Chordata; Actinopteri; Beloniformes; Adrianichthyidae. The transcript has 6 exons.